Oryza glumipatula is the source of this 192-nucleotide non-coding RNA. The record is from Rfam. Lineage: Eukaryota; Viridiplantae; Streptophyta; Magnoliopsida; Poales; Poaceae.
UUUAAGUGCAAUCAUAAGUUUCUGUGUCUAACUUUAAUCAUCCGUCUUAUUUAAUUUAUUUUAUAAUUAGCAUUUUUAUUGUUAUGGGAUGAUAAAACAUAAAUAGUACUUCGUGCUUGACUUAUGUUUUUAAUUUUUUUUAAUAAGACGAACCACACAAAUUAGACACGGAACAUUAUGACUGCACUUAAA